AUUGAACGCUGGCGGCAUGCCUUACACACGCAAGUCGAACGGUAGAGGGGGCAACCCCUCGAGAGUGGCGAACGGGUGAGUAAUAUAUCGGAACGUGCCCAGUCGUGGGGGAUAACGUAGCGAAAGUUACGCUAAUACCGCAUACGAUCUAAGGAUGAAAGCGGGGGAUCGCAAGACCUCGCGCGAUUGGAGCGGCCGAUAUCAGAUUAGGUAGUUGGUGGGGUAAAGGCUCACCAAGCCAACGAUCUGUAGCUGGUCUGAGAGGACGACCAGCCACACUGGAACUGAGACACGGUCCAGACUCCUACGGGAGGCAGCAGUGGGGAAUUUUGGACAAUGGACGCAAGUCUGAUCCAGCCAUUCCGCGUGCAGGAUGAAGGCCCUCGGGUUGUAAACUGCUUUGGUACGGAACGAAAAGGUCUCUCUUAAUACGGGGGGCUCAUGACGGUACCGUAAGAAUAAGCACCGGCUAACUACGUGCCAGCAGCCGCCGUAA
Molecule: ribosomal RNA, 496 nt
Filed under: uncultured bacterium
Lineage: Bacteria
Description: partial 16S ribosomal RNA
Rfam family: Bacterial small subunit ribosomal RNA
Source: RNAcentral